UAAUAAGUGUUUAUGGCACUUCUCAAAUCCAUAUCCACCUUGUGUGCAAUGUCAGCCGUUUUCUUUAUGAAAGCGGCCAAACAUCAACUUAUUUUUUAACUGUCUGUCUGAAAACUAUUAUGAAUAAACAAUUCAAAUA
Molecule: unclassified non-coding RNA, 139 nt
Filed under: soil metagenome
Description: partial internal transcribed spacer 1
Source: RNAcentral